RNAcentral lists this ribosomal RNA (497 nucleotides) under uncultured bacterium. Its description in RNAcentral is "partial 16S ribosomal RNA". It matches the Rfam family "Bacterial small subunit ribosomal RNA", at positions 28 to 507 of the family's 1533-position model. The record is from RNAcentral.
GAUGAACGCUGGCGGCGUGCCUAAUACAUGCAAGUCGAGCGAACGGACGAGAAGCUUGCUUCUCUGAUGUUAGCGGCGGACGGGUGAGUAACACGUGGAUAACCUACCUAUAAGACUGGGAUAACUUCGGGAAACCGGAGCUAAUACCGGAUGAUAUUUUGAACCGCAUGGUUCAAAAGUGAAAGACGGUCUUGCUGUCACUUAUAGAUGGAUCCGCGCUGCAUUAGCUAGUUGGAAAGGUAACGGCUUACCAAGGCAACGAUGCAUAGCCGACCUGAGAGGGUGAUCGGCCACACUGGAACUGAGACACGGUCCAGACUCCUACGGGAGGCAGCAGUAGGGAAUCUUCCGCAAUGGGCGAAAGCCUGACGGAGCAACGCCGCGUGAGUGAUGAAGGUCUUCGGAUCGUAAAACUCUGUUAUUAGGGAAGAACAUAUGUGUAAGUAACUGUGCACAUCUUGACGGUACCUAAUCAGAAAGCCACGGCUAACUACGUG